GACGAACGCUGGCGGCGGGCUUAACACAUGCAAGUCGAACGGAAAGGCCCUGCUUUUGUGGGCUGCUCGAGUGGCGAACGGGUGAGUAACAAGUGAGUAACCUGCCCUUGACUUUGGGAUAACUUCAGGAAACUGGGGCUAAUACCGGAUCGGAGCUCCUGCUGCAUGGUGGGGGUUGGAAAGUUUCGGCGGUUGGGGAUGGACUCGCGGCUUAUCAGCUUGUUGGUGGGGUAGUGGCCUACCAAGGCGUUGACGGGUAGCCGGCCUGAGAGGGUGACCGGCGACAUUGGGACUGCGAGACGGACCAGACUCCUACGGGAGGCAGCAGUGGGGAAUAUUGCACAAUGGGCGGGAGCCUGAUGCAGAAACGCCGCGGGCGGGAUGACGGCCUUCGGGUUGUAAACCGCGUUAGCCUGUGACGAAGCGUGAGUGACGGUAAUGGGUAAAGAAGCACCGGCUAACUACGUG
This 468-nucleotide ribosomal RNA is filed under the name uncultured bacterium. Its description in RNAcentral is "partial 16S ribosomal RNA". It matches the Rfam family "Bacterial small subunit ribosomal RNA", at positions 28 to 507 of the family's 1533-position model. The record is from RNAcentral.